This is a long non-coding RNA of Helianthus annuus (common sunflower), 986 nucleotides long. RefSeq lists it as uncharacterized. Lineage: Eukaryota; Viridiplantae; Streptophyta; Magnoliopsida; Asterales; Asteraceae. The record is from RefSeq and is a predicted model, not a curated record. The transcript has 3 exons.
GUAUUCCCUACUUGACGAUUAUCCUUAUAUGUGACAACUCGAACUUUCAAGAUGUGACAACUCGAACUUUCACGGUUAACAUCGUCUAAACUCGUAACACUUAGCUAGUGGUUUGAGUAUAUACGAUCUAAUUAUACGUAAUUACUAUCACUUGGAUAAUGGCAUGUUGUGAAACGCUAAGUGUUGGUUCAUAAAUUCGGCCGCGCGCGAUGUCGGGCUACACACCUCCAUUCAUCAGUCGCACACUUCAUGUUAGUGGGCUUCUAAAGGCCCAGUCUUGAUCUGCCCUAUUGGAACCCAACCCACUCGAAUAAAAUGCAUAUAUGCACGAUGAGGGACACAUUUUGCAUUUUAUUUGGCAAAGUACAAGGAAAACUACAAACCCUAGAAUGCAUAUAUGCACGGCCUAUUCUUUCCCUUUCCUUUCGCAAGUGGCGGCAGUUCUUUUCUUCCCCAUCGUUCCAUCAUCAAUGGCAACCAUCAACUGUAAACCCCUUCAAAGCUUUUGAUCACGUUUCUUAUCUUGCACAUCAAACCUCGCCAUAAACAUUCCCCAUUUACCGGAAUAUCGUCGGAGCAUAUGAUGUGUCGGGAUACGCGGAGGAUCGCGGUAGGAACCAUUCUUCGACUCUUUAAUGAUUGAUAGCACCUCUAUUCACGUCAGCACUGCAAUGGGACUCGUCGAAAACACGAAGACGUCACUGGACGUACCCGAAGCCCUCCUUCUUUCGACUCGGCUCGGUUUUCUCUCACACGAACACUUGGGUUUGGUUGAUCCAUUUGGAACGAAUAGUGAAACGUGACAUACCGAGCAAUCUAAGGUCGUUAGGGAAUGGAAACAGGAGCUUGCUGGCUGGAGGACAGGAGUGGUCAUGGUCACACUGAUGGGCUCAUUUGUUAAACACUUAUUUAUCAUGUUGAUUAGUAUUACUUUAUGAUACAAUAAUGCUUCCGCUGAACUUGAUGGUUUUUUUUGAAUUACUUAU